CAGGAAAACAUUUUGAAAUCGGUGUAUCCGAAAAUGAAGGCGUCAAUGGUGCCGAAAAUUGGGGAAAUAGCGGUGAAAAUGAUGAGCGAUGGUAGUAAGAGAAGAAGAUUAGGAAACUUUCAGCCAAUUGAAGGAUUCGGUCAGUCGGAGCUCUGCGCCAGUUAAUAAGAGAAGUGUGAUCGGAGAGUGAAAUCCACCACCUGACGACCGUUCCUUCCAAAUCAUCCUCAGAGAACCUAUGAGUGCACUGUUCUGGGUUUGAUGAACUAUCAGCCAAGGAAAAAGGAAAUAAUGAAGGAAGAUACAUCUGCC
Impatiens glandulifera is the source of this 312-nucleotide long non-coding RNA. RefSeq lists it as uncharacterized. Lineage: Eukaryota; Viridiplantae; Streptophyta; Magnoliopsida; Ericales; Balsaminaceae. The record is from RefSeq and is a predicted model, not a curated record. The transcript is spliced from 3 exons.